This 394-nucleotide unclassified non-coding RNA is filed under the name uncultured fungus. Its description in RNAcentral is "partial contains small subunit ribosomal RNA, internal transcribed spacer 1, and 5.8S ribosomal RNA". The stretch from base 1 to 73 matches the Rfam family "Eukaryotic small subunit ribosomal RNA", at positions 1759 to 1831 of the family's 1831-position model. Lineage: Eukaryota; Fungi. The record is from RNAcentral.
GCAAACUUGGUCAUUUAGAGGAAGUAAAAGUCGUAACAAGGUUUCCGUAGGUGAACCUGCGGAAGGAUCAUUAACACGUAUCCACGUAUCAACCCCUCUGUGAAAACGAAGAAACAGAAGGCGUGUUCUGAGUGUGUCGUCGGUUGUCCUAAUGAUGGCGGGGUUAACCUUUCGAGGUUGGCUUCGGGGACACAUAACCACGGCAUGCGUUCGAGGAAUCGCCGCUUUUUUCCCAUCAUUAGCCCUUUUUACUAUUUUUAACCCCUUGUACUUCUUAUGUACUGAACCAAUUCUUUCGAUGCUCUCACAAGGAGCGACGAAAAGAUAUUACGAAACUAAAAGAACAACUCUUAGCAACGGAUAUCUUGGUUCCCGCAUCGAUGAAGAACGCAGC